AAAUUGAAGAGUUUGAUCAUGGCUCAGAUUGAACGCUGGCGGCAGGCCUAACACAUGCAAGUCGAACGGUAACAGGAAGCAGCUUGCUGCUUUGCUGACGAGUGGCGGACGGGUGAGUAAUGUCUGGGAAACUGCCUGAUGGAGGGGGAUAACUACUGGAAACGGUGGCUAAUACCGCAUAACGUCGCAAGACCAAAGAGGGGGACCUUCGGGCCUCUUGCCAUCAGAUGUGCCCAGAUGGGAUUAGCUUGUUGGUGAGGUAACGGCUCACCAAGGCGACGAUCCCUAGCUGGUCUGAG
This 299-nucleotide ribosomal RNA is filed under the name Salmonella enterica. RNAcentral describes it as "partial 16S ribosomal RNA". It matches the Rfam family "Bacterial small subunit ribosomal RNA", at positions 1 to 296 of the family's 1533-position model. Lineage: Bacteria; Pseudomonadati; Pseudomonadota; Gammaproteobacteria; Enterobacterales; Enterobacteriaceae. The record is from RNAcentral. RNAcentral also lists the same sequence under 3 other names.